GACGAACCGUGCGAACGUUAUUCGGAAUCACUGGGCUUAAAGCGCGUGUAGGCGGGUGGGAACGUCGGCCGCUGAAAUCCCCCGGCUCAACCGGGGAAGGGGCGCCGAAACGGCCCGCCUGGAGGGACGUAGGGGGAGCUGGAACUUCCGGUGGAGCGGUGAAAUGCGUUGAGAUCGGAAGGAACGCCCGUGGCGAAAGCGAGCUCCUGGACGUUUUCUGACGCUGAGACGCGAAAGCCAGG
RNAcentral lists this ribosomal RNA (242 nucleotides) under uncultured bacterium. RNAcentral describes it as "partial 16S ribosomal RNA". It matches the Rfam family "Bacterial small subunit ribosomal RNA", at positions 524 to 764 of the family's 1533-position model. The record is from RNAcentral.